Molecule: small nucleolar RNA, 72 nt
Organism: Meriones unguiculatus (Mongolian gerbil)
Lineage: Eukaryota; Metazoa; Chordata; Mammalia; Rodentia; Muridae
Source: Ensembl
UGGAUCUGUGAUGACCAGUGGUGCAGUAUGAGUCGUGGAACAUGACUACAGGUCUCAGAGUCUGAGGUCCUC